This 380-nucleotide ribosomal RNA is filed under the name uncultured bacterium. Its description in RNAcentral is "bacterial SSU rRNA". It matches the Rfam family "Bacterial small subunit ribosomal RNA", at positions 28 to 404 of the family's 1533-position model. The record is from RNAcentral.
GACGAACGCUGGCGGCGUGCUUAACACAUGCAAGUCGAGCGGUAAGGCCCUUUCGGGGGUACACGAGCGGCGAACGGGUGAGUAACACGUGGGUGACCUGCCCUCAGCUCUGGGAUAAGCCUGGGAAACCGGGUCUAAUACCGGAUAUGACUCCAUGACGCAUGUUGUGGGGUGGAAAGCCUUGUGCGGCUGAGGAUGGGCCCGCGGCCUAUCAGCUUGUUGGUGGGGUGAUGGCCUACCAAGGCGACGACGGGUAGCCGGCCUGAGAGGGCGACCGGCCACACUGGGACUGAGACACGGCCCAGACCUCCGUACGGGAGGCAGCAGGUGGGGAAUCUUGCGCAAGUGGGACGAAAGCCUGACGCGGCGACGCCGCGUGA